Molecule: non-coding RNA, 1083 nt
Filed under: Trichinella zimbabwensis
Lineage: Eukaryota; Metazoa; Nematoda; Enoplea; Trichinellida; Trichinellidae
Description: Eukaryotic large subunit ribosomal RNA
Rfam family: Eukaryotic large subunit ribosomal RNA
Source: Rfam by way of RNAcentral
AGAUGACCCGCCUAAUUUAAGCAUAUUAAUCAGCGGAGGAAAAGAAACCAACCGGGAUUCCCUGAGUAAGUGCGACCGAAACGGGAAGAGCCCAGCGCAAAGCCUCGCGUCCCCUUCGCGGGGGGCUCGAGGGGUGCUGCGUUCGGGAGAGGUCCUGCACGCGCUUCCGAGCCGCCUAAGUUGUUCAUGAAUGACUCUCAUACCCACGGAGGGUGUCAGGCCCGUGUGGCGGAAAGGGACUUCCUCCUCCUCGUUCGCGGGGAGGGGGGUUUCGGGAGUGCGGAACGGGCCUCUCCUUAGAGUCGGGUUGCCUGAAACCGCAACCUAAAGCAGGUGGUAAACUCCAUCUAAGGCUAAAUAUGACCACGAGACCGAUAGCGAACAAGUACCGUGAGGGAAAGUUGAAACAGAACCCUGUAGAGAGAGUUCAAGAGAACGUGAAACCGUUAAGAGGCUAAACGGGCGGAGAUUCGAAGAUCGAACUGGGGGGAUUCAGUUCGUCGGCCUGCCGGGAGACGGCAGCGGGCGUGGCGACUUCCCGUUCCGGAGGCCUCGGCCGAAGGAGCCAACGCGGGGAGCGGCCCCCGCCGCCUGCCCGGCGCCGGCGGGCGAUCUUCCCCCCGCAGUAGGUCGCCGCGACGCGUUGGGGACACACGGGCGUCUGAGGCCCGGGUCCUGGUAGGAACCGGCGGCGCGUUCGUCCUCCGCUCCUCGUUGGGCGGGGGGCGUUUUCCAGCGCGCCCGUCCGGGGAUCCCCCGGUGCCCUCGUCUUGCCCCCCCGACGGUCUCUCCUCCGGGGCCUGCCGGGAACGGGGGACUGGUCCGAGGCCGCGGUCGAGCCUAAUUCGCUGGCUCCCGCGCUUCCCUUUCCCUCUCCCGCGUGGCCUUCGCGGCGUGCAAAGAGUCGGUACUCCUCCCGACCCGUCUUGAAACACGGACCAAGGAGUCCAACAUGUAUGCGAGUCAAUGGGCGCGCUAAACCCACGGGCGCAAUGAAAGUGAUCGGGCCGAUCCCUCGGAGCAGCGGGCGGCCGCGCGCACCCGGACGGAGUGACUGACUUUCCUCCCCGGGACGGCGCGGGC